AUUGAACGCUGGCGGCAUGCCUUACACAUGCAAGUCGAACGGCAGCACGGGUGCUUGCACCUGGUGGCGAGUGGCGAACGGGUGAGUAAUAUAUCGGAACGUACCUUAUUGUGGGGGAUAACGCAGCGAAAGCUGUGCUAAUACCGCAUAAUCCCUAAGGGGGAAAGCGGGGGACCGUAAGGCCUCGCGCAAUUAGAGCGGCUGAUACCUGAUUAGCUAGUUGGUGAGGUAAAGGCUCACCAAGGCAACGAUCAGUAGCUGGUCUGAGAGGACGAUCAGCCACACUGGGACUGAGACACGGCCCAGACUCCUACGGGAGGCAGCAGUGGGGAAUUUUGGACAAUGGGGGCAACCCUGAUCCAGCAAUGCCGCGUGAGUGAAGAAGGCCUUCGGGUUGUAAAGCUCUUUUGUCAGGGAAGAAACAGCAGCUCUAACACAGUCUGCGAAUGACGGUACCUGAAGAAUAAGCACCGGCUAACUACGUGCCAGCAGCCGCGGUAA
Molecule: ribosomal RNA, 501 nt
Filed under: uncultured bacterium
Lineage: Bacteria
Description: partial 16S ribosomal RNA
Rfam family: Bacterial small subunit ribosomal RNA
Source: RNAcentral